Molecule: long non-coding RNA, 4728 nt
Organism: Felis catus (domestic cat)
Lineage: Eukaryota; Metazoa; Chordata; Mammalia; Carnivora; Felidae
Exons: 5
Source: RefSeq, a predicted model, not a curated record
GGUGUUCCCAAGUGGAUCUCCUCCCCAGGGGAAGAGUCCUAGCUGACCUGAAACUUCAUCCCUUCCAGAAUGUUGAUUCAGCUCCUUCAGCGGUAAUAGUCCACCAUGUUAGCUUGAGUCAAGAGCUAAUGAGGUCAAGGUAGAGACAACACUCCUCCUGAAUAGCUUUUCUUCAAAAGGAGAAGGAAGGCACACCAACAAUUUGACUAACACUACAACAGACUAAAGUAAUUCAUGAAGGAGUGUGAUGGUUAAUUUUGUGUCAACUUGACUAGACCAUUGCAGUAUCUAGAUAUUUGGCUAAACAUUUUUUCUGGGUGUGUCUGGGAGGAAGGUGUCUAAAUGAGAGUAGCAUUUGAACAGUGGACUCUGUAAAGCAGAUUGCCCUUCUCAAUGUGGGUGGUCCUCAUCCAAUCCCUUGAGAGCCUGAAUUGAACAACAAGGCUGAGAAAGGGAGAAUUUGCACUCUCUCUGCCUGGCUGCUGGGCGAGGACACCUGUCUUUUUCCCCUGGUCUGGGACUUACACCAUUGUCUCUCCUAGUCCUCAGGCAUUUGAGCUGGAGUGAACCAUGUCUUCAGCUCUCCUAGGUUUCCAGCUUGCAGAUAGCAGAUAUGGUGGGACUACUCAGCCUCCAUAAUUUACAAACAGAAUUUUCCUCUCACCAAGGACAGUCACAUCAUUUAAGAUGAUAAUGUUACCACACUGUGCACCCAAGUGAGGAAAAAAGAGAAGACGUGUGCAAGAGAGCCCUGAGAUCUGGAACAGUAGCCCUGCCCCGGACAUGUCACGCUGGCAUGAACAAGCAAGACCUAAAAGGCAAAAAAAGUUCUCACCACAGCUGUUCCAACAGGAGACGUAUCUUCUCUGGAACUAUGAACCCAGUGAUUGUACACAAAUAAGCUUUUGCCACCACCGUGCUCGGCUGAGGACAACAAUAGGUUGAUACGAAAUUAUUCGGCUCAUUAUUUCUGUAGCACACACAGAAAGAGAAAGAAAGAAAGAAAACACCUCUGUUAUCUCGCACCUGAUCAUUUUCAAAGUAUAAACCCCCGUGAAGAACGCGGAGCUGGCCACGCCCCAGCCCAGGCCCCCCAGACGCACAGUUGGGCGUUACUGAAGACGGCGCCCAGCCAGUCCAGGAGCUCGGGGGCGCUGCAAGCCGCCCCCGGGGCUCCCCCCAGCUCGCCGCUCCGCAGCACCGGGCACUGCAGCUCGCUCGCCGUGCUCAGGGCCACUCGCGGCUGCCGCUCCUGAAUUCCGUAACUGGAAAAGUACGACAUCAUCCUUGAUUCUUCUGCACCUUAGAACACACCAUAAAAGGCCAUGUGAGUACUGGAAACAAGUUCUGCGAAUCCCUGGAACCACCCCAUUCCCUCCCGACAGUUCCGGGGAGCAGGCAGGAUGAAGUAAAGCAGAGGGAGGGUGUGCAAAGCUGUAUUCAAAUUAAAAUCAUUUAAGUUGCUUUGGGCUCCUUGGUGCCAAAGUUCUGUAAACAUUCGCUUUCUUUCACUUUUCCUGGAAACGCGUAACCCUUUCACGUCCAACCUAUAGUAGUAUCAUAGGUGCCCUAAUCUGAGAAUUUUGACUGACUAAAUAAAAAAGCACCACUCGUGUAUAAAUAAAAUUAGUGAACUCUACAGAGAGGAGCUUAUUUGCAUAAUCUCUCUAAAGGAAGCACAAGACGAACUGAACGAUGGCAGCAUCUCAUCUGAGCUUGUCUUUAAAAACCCAGUAAAAUCAAUGUAUCUUCACGGAUUUUCCAACAGCCUUGGGAGAAAGCGGUAGUGGCCCCCUUAGUGGGGGGAGCAACAGGCAGGCCUUCUUACUGUCCAGGGCAAUAGAAAUAAUCUGCUCUCCAUCUCAACCCCACCUACCCCCAUCCCCCACCACCAGGAGCAAAGGUCAGCAGGCUUACUGGCCAGUAUAAGACUGGAGUUCCGGAUUCCUCUUCUGUAAUGCAGCCCACUCCAUGCGCGGGUGUCACCUGGCCCACUGUGUAUCACCCUGUAGGUACUGGGACUUGGUGCACUACUGUAUAUGCUCAUAGUCCAGCCACUGACACUAUGAAUAAUUAAACCCUUUGCCUCUGACCUGAGUCUCGUACCUUCUGCCAGCAUCCAUGAGACUGUGCAGGCUAACUUCUUAGCUUACAAGUGGGGAAAAUCUCAGACCUUCCCCAGUUCCUGAUAAGCCCUUAGAAUAAUAUGGAGUCUUAGGGACACAGAACUCUCCAGAACCCAAUAUACAGAAGGUACUCAAUGAACACUUCGAGCAACUGAAAUGUCAGUCAGUGUCUCUGCCCUCUUGUAUCUCUACCAUAAGUAGGAGAAACACUGAAGCAUUCCAGACCCAUGCAAGCAACCUACAGCACCCAGUGACCAGAAACUUCCGAGGAAGAGCAGAUGGAUAGGCGUGAUCUCCAAAAUGGACCUAUGUGUCUCCCUAUUCUCCAAAACAGAGUACCACACCAUCAUAACUGAUGAUCUGACCCAUGACAAUCUUGUGAUGGACCAAAGAUACGCUCUAAAAGGACCAAGGCACAUGGCAGUUGUCAAAGACCAAGAGCAGAGGUCCUUGGGAAGUCAAUCCUAAAUCUACCUAUGGAUGUGGCAGCCUCACCUAUUCACGUUCAAGCCAGACACUAUCAGUAGAACCAUCUCUUUUCACUCACAGAUGCCGGAUAAACCAAUAAUUAACCUCACUGAUGCCUCAACUUCCACAUCUGCGGAAACGCGCCCCAUGCGGCUGACAUUUUUACGAAGCAAAAGCCAAAGUUACCCCCCCGCCCCCCGUAAAGCUCUUAAAUUGUGCUUGCAAACAGGGACACCACGACUCAUUUCACUCUAAACCUGACAACCUAGCGCGCUCCAGCUGGAGACCACAGAAGUUAACAGGCAAAGUGGAAACUUUUCUCAGAGAUAAAACUAGUUCCUCUAAACAGUUUAGAAAAGCAUGUGCUUCCUGGGUCUGGACUCGGCAAGAUGCUCCCAUGAGGUGGGAGAAAGAAUCAAGAGGUGGGGGGGGGGGGGGCGCGAGGCCACAAUUUGGAGCCAGUCCGCGGCUCCACGUGGCAUACGUCACAGCGUCUCUACUCCAGAGGCCCGUGCCUGACUUUUUCCUCCCAAGAAAGUGUUCCACCGGGGGCGGGGCCAAAGUAGCCAGCGACGCUUUGGAAUCGGCCCGGAGCAAAUCGCCCAGCCCCUCCUUGCGAGGACAGGACACUGCCCCUACUCCCGGCGCAUCCUGGGAGUUGUAGUCCUGCAGCUCUGCAAGCUACCAGCUCGGAGUAGUAUAGAGACUACAGCUCCCAAAGUGCCUAGCGCGGGGCCCCGCCCCUCUUCGCGCUGAGGGCGGGCUCCUCACUGAACGCGACUUUCCCCACAUCUCUCCAGCUCCCGGAGACGGGGUGCUUCCUGAGUGGCCCACGACGGCCAGACUCACCCUGUAAUUAUGGUAGUGCGUCUCCACAAGAUGCCGGUGGCGCGACUUGUCAUGGCCGAAGUUGGAUUUCUCGCAGACCAGCAAGUGUCGGGGAACCUCUCGCAGCCUGCGCAGUGUGGCCAUGCUUUCUCCGGCACAAGCCCUGAGCGAGGUCGGGGAGCCCAGUCCCUCCGCUUCGCUCCGCCCCUCCGCCUGGCCCCGCGGGCAUGCGCAUUGCAGCUGCGCAGUGCCGGUUGAAGCUGCUCGGGCUUGGUGACCGGUUAGGGGUGAGGGCGGGCCUGGGUUUCUUCGGAAGCUUAGGUUCCUGAACCUUGGGUACCUGAAACCGCAAAUUCAUUGCCUACAGGGGAAAUACCUGGUACCUGGAAACCUGGAACUUGCUUUUUCAAACCCACCUUUCUCGCCAAGACCUCCGUCCCUCCCUGCUGCUGUCUUGCCGUAUAUCCUCCCUCUGUUCCUUCACAAGUGGUUUAGGAGUUUUGUGCAGGAAGAUAAUACACAAUUUCUGUUUUCGGCCCUACAAUACGACUCCGUCGGAACCACUUUAAGAUCCCUUUUUAAAAAUACCACCUGAACGGCUUUAAAAAUUUUGUUACUAUUGUUACAAUGUGAGAAUUUGUUUUUCCAUAAUUUUUCUGAUCAAGUACUAUACGUUUCUCAAGCUGGAGUAUGCACAGCCCCAAUUCUGUGCUGAGAGGAUGCAAAACAGCAGACCAUCUGUGGUACAACUGUCUGGAGCAUCAAUUUUACUGUAAGAUUUGGAACAACCGAAGUUACGUAAUUUACAAGGUGGGAACAGCAGGGAAGGUGGUGCUGGGAACUGUAACUAUUGAAGACACCAGUAAUAAAUUAGAGGACUCCAUCCUGCCAAGCCUAAACUUGACCUCACAGUCUUUAUCAGCACUGGGCUCCAGGCAGCUGCCACGAAUGGACGGGUGUUGGGGUACAAGAUCAAAACUACCCUAUGAUGGCAGGCAGCCUGGGAACUGGAUCCAGCAGGUACAGUGGAAAAAAUCAGCGGCCCCCAAGAAUAUAUGAUGCACUCCAAGUGAGGACUUGAAUCCCUGGAGUUUUGGGAAGGGCUCAGAGCCAGACUGCUUCAUGUCCUCUCCCUCUGACUGGUUGGGAAUCGAUGGAACAUGCAAACAUAUUAACACUGGCAGCUGUGUGGACUGUGUCAACACAUGGAAGUGCACAAAUGGAGUAUUUUAAAACAGAACACAAUGUUAUAUGUCAAUUGUAUCUCAAUAAAUCUGGGGGAGAAAAGCAGAACCCAAAACAGUCA